UAGGGAAUAUUGGGCAAUGGUCGGAAGACUGACCCAGCCAUGCCGCGUGCAGGAAGAAGGCGUUAUGCGUUGUAAACUGCUUUUGUCGUGGAAGAAAAAGGUAGUGCGCUAUCAAUUGACGGUACACGAUGAAUAAGCAUCGGCUAACUCCGUGCCAGCAGCCGCGGUAAUACGGAGGAUGCGAGCGUUGUCCGGAUUUAUUGGGUUUAAAGGGUGCGUAGGCGGUUGUCUAAGGCGGCGGUAAAAUUC
This 249-nucleotide ribosomal RNA is filed under the name uncultured organism. RNAcentral's name for it is "partial 16S ribosomal RNA". It matches the Rfam family "Bacterial small subunit ribosomal RNA", at positions 355 to 602 of the family's 1533-position model. The record is from RNAcentral.